This 338-nucleotide long non-coding RNA is filed under the name Carica papaya (papaya). RNAcentral describes it as "long non-coding RNA (CPAP_LNC015101)". The record is from RNAcentral. Lineage: Eukaryota; Viridiplantae; Streptophyta; Magnoliopsida; Brassicales; Caricaceae.
UAAUUCAAUCGUUACACAACAUAUUUUCCUCAUUUACCAGCCCACUAGUAUCCAUGGGGAUCCAUAGGGGUCCCGCUACCCGUUAACACUUAACACUUGAAAUCAUUUUUCCAGGGCCGUCCCCAUACCCCAUCCGGUAUGGGCGCCAAAACUAUAGACCUCAUUACCCCGUCUGGUAUGAGGGUGAAACGGGCCGUCCCCAUACCCCGUCCGGUAUGGGCGCCAAAACACAUAAGAUCUCCAUACCCCGUCCGGUAUGGGAGACCACAAUCCCGGUAGGGUUCCCUACGGACCCGGUCCGUCCAUCAUCUCUCAGGAUAUCUAGUCAGGCUGACCAC